AAGCUUGCUUCUCUGAUGUUAGCGGCGGACGGGUGAGUAACACGUGGAUAACCUACCUAUAAGACUGGGAUAACUUCGGGAAACCGGAGCUAAUACCGGAUAAUAUUUUGAACCGCAUGGUUCAAAAGUGAAAGACGGUCUUGCUGUCACUUAUAGAUGGAUCCGCGCUGCAUUAGCUAGUUGGUAAGGUAACGGCUUACCAAGGCAACGAUGCAUAGCCGACCUGAGAGGGUGAUCGGCCACACUGGAACUGAGACACGGUCCAGACUCCUACGGGAGGCAGCAGUAGGGAAUCUUCCGCAAUGGGCGAAAGCCUGACGGAGCAACGCUGGAGUGAAUGAAAGGUUUUUCGGGAUUGGUAAAACUCUUGUUUAUUAGGGAAAGAAACAUAUUGGUGUAAGUAACCUGUGCCCCAUUCUUGACCGGUACCUUAUUCAGAAAAGCCACCGGCUUAAUUACGGUGCCAGCAGGCCGCCGGUAAUUACGUAAGGUGGCCAAGCGUUUUUCCGGAAUUAUUUGGGCGUAAAACCCCGGGUAGGCGGUUUUUUUAAUUCUGAUGUGAAAGCCCCACGGCUCAACCCGUGGAGGGUCAUUGGAAACUGGAAAACUUGAGUGCAGAAGAGGAAAGUGGAAUUCCAUGUGUAGCGGUGAAAUGCGCAGAGAUAUGGAGGAACACCAGUGGCGAAGGCGACUUUCUGGUCUGUAACUGACGCUGAUGUGCGAAAGCGUGGGGAUCAAACAGGAUUAGAUACCCUGGUAGUCCACGCCGUAAACGAUGAGUGCUAAGUGUUAGGGGGUUUCCGCCCCUUAGUGCUGCAGCUAACGCAUUAAGCACUCCGCCUGGGGAGUACGACCGCAAGGUUGAAACUCAAAGGAAUUGACGGGGACCCGCACAAGCGGUGGAGCAUGUGGUUUAAUUCGAAGCAACGCGAAGAACCUUACCAAAUCUUGACAUCCUUUGACAACUCUAGAGAUAGAGCUUUCCCCUUCGGGGGACAAAGUGACAGGUGGUGCAUGGUUGUCGUCAGCUCGUGUCGUGAGAUGUUGGGUUAAGUCCCGCAACGAGCGCAACCCUUAAGCUUAGUUGCCAUCAUUAAGUUGGGCACUCUAAGUUGACUGCCGGUGACAAACCGGAGGAAGGUGGGGAUGACGUCAAAUCAUCAUGCCCCUUAUGAUUUGGGCUACACACGUGCUACAAUGGACAAUACAAAGGGCAGCGAAACCGCGAGGUCAAGCAAAUCCCAUAAAGUUGUUCUCAGUUCGGAUUGUAGUCUGCAACUCGACUACAUGAAGCUGGAAUCGCUAGUAAUCGUAGAUCAGCAUGCUACGGUGAAUACGUUCCCGGGUCUUGUACACACCGCCCGUCACACCACGAGAGUUUGUAACACCCGAAGCCGGUGGAGUAACCUUUUAGGAGCUAGCCGUCGAAGGGU
Molecule: ribosomal RNA, 1433 nt
Filed under: Staphylococcus aureus
Lineage: Bacteria; Bacillati; Bacillota; Bacilli; Caryophanales; Staphylococcaceae
Description: bacterial SSU rRNA
Rfam family: Bacterial small subunit ribosomal RNA
Source: RNAcentral